AAUCUGCCUAGUAGUGGGGGAUAGCUCGGGGAAACUCGAAUUAAUACCGCAUACGACCUACGGGUGAAAGGGGGCGCAAGCUCUUGCUAUUAGAUGAGCCUAAAUCAGAUUAGCUAGUUGGCGGGGUAAAGGCCCACCAAGGCGACGAUCUGUAACUGGUCUGAGAGGAUGAUCAGUCACACCGGAACUGAGACACGGUCCGGACUCCUACGGGAGGCAGCAGUGGGGAAUAUUGGACAAUGGGGGCAACCCUGAUCCAGCCAUGCCGCGUGUGUGAAGAAGGCCUUUUGGUUGUAAAGCACUUUAAGCAGGGAGGAGAGGCUAAUGGUUAAUACCCAUUAGAUUAGACGUUACCUGCAGAAUAAGCACCGGCUAACUCUGUGCCAGCAGCCGCGGUAAUACAGAGGGUGCGAGCGUUAAUCGGAAUUACUGGGCGUAAAGCGAGUGUAGGUGGCUCAUUAAGU
RNAcentral lists this ribosomal RNA (464 nucleotides) under uncultured bacterium. RNAcentral describes it as "bacterial SSU rRNA". It matches the Rfam family "Bacterial small subunit ribosomal RNA", at positions 123 to 588 of the family's 1533-position model. The record is from RNAcentral.